AUAAGAAGAAGAAGAAGAAGAAGCAUGCCGUGUACCGUAAACAUAGAACCCAGUAUAAACCUAGUAGGCUAGAAUUGAAUAUGGGUUGUUGAGGAAGAAAGUUCACAUAAUUCAUUUUAGGGUUUGAAUGAAAGAACUCCAAUUCAAAGAGAAGGGAGGGGAAAGAGAAAGAGGGGAGAGAAAAAUCAACUCACCAUAACUGCAAUCAAGAUCAUCACCUUCCUUUUUUCUUUUUUAAUUUUACACUUAAUCCACUUGUCAAUAAGUUAUUGGCUUGCCAUACCAACCAGGAAUUCUAGUAGGUGCAGCGGGUUCACUAUAUAAUUUCUCGUCUCGAAGUUUUCAGUAGUGAAGGUUUUUUCUUCUUUUAUUUUUUGAUGAAUUUUCAUAUAUUAUUUAAAAAAAAAUAAUAUUUUUCAAAUAAAAUCAAAUCCUG
This 436-nucleotide unclassified non-coding RNA is filed under the name Hevea brasiliensis (rubber tree). Lineage: Eukaryota; Viridiplantae; Streptophyta; Magnoliopsida; Malpighiales; Euphorbiaceae. The record is from RNAcentral.